Molecule: ribosomal RNA, 433 nt
Filed under: uncultured bacterium
Lineage: Bacteria
Description: partial 16S ribosomal RNA
Rfam family: Bacterial small subunit ribosomal RNA
Source: RNAcentral
GCGAACGCUGGCGGCAGGCCUAACACAUGCAAGUCGAACGAACCUUUCGGGGUUAGUGGCGGACGGGUGAGUAACACGUGGGAACGUGCCUUUAGGUUCGGAAUAACUCAGGGAAGCUUGUGCUAAUACCGAAUGUGCCCUUCGGGGGAAAGAUUAAUCGCCUUUAGAGCGGCCCGCGUCUGAUUAGCUAGUUGGUUGAGGUAAUGGCUCACCAAGGCGACGAUCAGUAGCUGGUCUGAGAGGAUGAUCAGCCACAUUGGGACUGAGACACGGCCCAAACUCCUACGGGAGGCAGCAGUGGGGAAUCUUGCGCAAUGGGCGAAAGCCUGACGCAGCCAUGCCGCGUGAAUGAUGAAGGUCUUAGGAUUGUAAAAUUCUUUCACCGGGGACGAUAAUGACGGUACCCGGAGAAGAAGCCCCGGCUAACUUCGUG